UUUGAUCCUGGCUCAGAACGAACGCUGGCGGCAGGCUUAACACAUGCAAGUCGAGCGCCCCGCAAGGGGAGCGGCAGACGGGUGAGUAACGCGUGGGAAUCUACCCUUGACUACGGAAUAACGCAGGGAAACUUGUGCUAAUACCGUAUGUGUCCUUCGGGAGAAAGAUUUAUCGGUCAAGGAUGAGCCCGCGUUGGAUUAGCUAGUUGGUGGGGUAAAGGCCUACCAAGGCGACGAUCCAUAGCUGGUYUGAGAGGAUGAUCAGCCACAUUGGGACUGAGACACGGCCCAAACUCCUACGGGAGGCAGCAGUGGGGAAUAUUGGACAAUGGGCGCAAGCCUGAUCCAGCCAUGCCGCGUGAGUGAUGAAGGCCCUAGGGUUGUAAAGCUCUUUCACCGGAGAAGAUA
RNAcentral lists this ribosomal RNA (408 nucleotides) under Rhizobium leguminosarum. RNAcentral's name for it is "bacterial SSU rRNA". It matches the Rfam family "Bacterial small subunit ribosomal RNA", at positions 12 to 450 of the family's 1533-position model. The record is from RNAcentral. Lineage: Bacteria; Pseudomonadati; Pseudomonadota; Alphaproteobacteria; Hyphomicrobiales; Rhizobiaceae.